RNAcentral lists this unclassified non-coding RNA (336 nucleotides) under soil metagenome. Its description in RNAcentral is "partial contains 5.8S ribosomal RNA, internal transcribed spacer 2, and large subunit ribosomal RNA". The stretch from base 1 to 120 matches the Rfam family "5.8S ribosomal RNA", at positions 35 to 154 of the family's 154-position model. The record is from RNAcentral.
GAUGAAGAACGUAGUGAAAUGAGAUAAGUAAUGUGAAUUGCAGAAUCUAGUGAAUCAUCGAAUCUUUGAACGCACAUUGCGCCCGCCAGUAUUCUGGCGGGCAUGCCUGUUCGAGCGUCAUUUCAACCAUCAAGCCCCCGGCUUGUGUUGGGGACCUGCGGCUGCCGCAGGCCCUGAAAAGCAGUGGCGGGCUCGCUGUCACACCGAGCGUAGUAGCAUACAUCUCGCUCUGGGCGUGCUGCGGGUUCCGGCCGUUAAACCACCUUCAUAACCCAAGGUUGACCUCGGAUCAGGCAGGAAGACCCGCUGAACUUAAGCAUAUCAAUAAGCGGAGGA